This 29-nucleotide non-coding RNA is filed under the name Mus musculus (house mouse). Lineage: Eukaryota; Metazoa; Chordata; Mammalia; Rodentia; Muridae. The record is from RNAcentral.
UCAGAUGUCCCUACUAACUUGAUGGCGAU